This 74-nucleotide transfer RNA is filed under the name Culex quinquefasciatus (southern house mosquito). Its description in RNAcentral is "tRNA-Thr". Lineage: Eukaryota; Metazoa; Arthropoda; Insecta; Diptera; Culicidae. The record is from RNAcentral.
GCAGUGCGUGGCCGAAUGGUUACGCUGUCCGCUAUGUAAGCGGAUGAUUCUGUGUUCGAUUCCCAUCUGCUGCA